UCCGAUUUGUCACCGGCAGUCACCUUAGAGUGCCCAACUGAAUGCUGGCAACUAAGGUCAAGGGUUGCGCUCGUUACGGGACUUAACCCAACAUCUCACGACACGAGCUGACGACAACCAUGCACCACCUGUCACCGCUGUCCCCGAAGGGAAAGAUCUAUCUCUAGACCGGUCAGCGGGAUGUCAAGACCUGGUAAGGUUCUUCGCGUUGCUUCGAAUUAAACCACAUGCUCCACCGCUUGUGCGGGCCCCCGUCAAUUCCUUUGAGUUUCAGCCUUGCGGCCGUACUCCCCAGGCGGAGUGCUUAAUGCGUUAACUGCAGCACUAAAGGGCGGAAACCCUCUAACACUUAGCACUCAUCGUUUACGGCGUGGACUAC
RNAcentral lists this unclassified non-coding RNA (379 nucleotides) under uncultured Bacillaceae bacterium. RNAcentral describes it as "contains 16S-23S intergenic spacer region". Lineage: Bacteria; Bacillati; Bacillota; Bacilli; Caryophanales; Bacillaceae. The record is from RNAcentral.